CAAAACCCCUUGAGAGGAGCAGCACUUAAAUCAUUGAGAGUGGAGAAGCUAUAGUUGUACUAGUGCUGGUGGUGUCAUUCGUUCAUUAAAAGAAAGAGAUCGUGAGUCACUGUUUCGUUGUUAUCAUGGUGAUAGGUCAUCCGUGGAGAUUUGAGUGAGAAAGCUGAACCACCAUUGGAUAAUAGAACUUGAUCUAACAAAGAGGACAUGUUAUGACUGGAGAAGAAUAGAAGGAUGGGAAGAGAUCGGUUGUGACGAAGAAAAUGGAAGCGGUGAUGGAGGAGACGUCACGGAUCUUAACCGUUCAUCACCGGAACCAAUGGCUACGGAGACGAGACCGUUCAACGAUGAUGGCAAACCAGUGAUGAGUAUAUUUUGUAGCAGAUCAUAGAUGGUGG
Long non-coding RNA from Arabidopsis thaliana (thale cress), 398 nucleotides. RefSeq annotates it as other RNA. The transcript has a single exon. NCBI's taxonomy places the organism in Eukaryota, Viridiplantae, Streptophyta, Magnoliopsida, Brassicales, Brassicaceae. The record is from RefSeq.